This 76-nucleotide transfer RNA is filed under the name Petrotogaceae bacterium. Its description in RNAcentral is "tRNA-Arg". It matches the Rfam family "tRNA". Rfam says of the family: Transfer RNA (tRNA) molecules are approximately 80 nucleotides in length. Their secondary structure includes four short double-helical elements and three loops (D, anti-codon, and T loops). The record is from RNAcentral. Lineage: Bacteria; Thermotogati; Thermotogota; Thermotogae; Petrotogales; Petrotogaceae.
GUGUCUGUAGCUUAGAUGGAUAGAGCACCGGACUCCGGAUCCGGGAAUGCGGGUUCAAGUCCCGCCAGACACGCCA